Molecule: ribosomal RNA, 492 nt
Filed under: uncultured bacterium
Lineage: Bacteria
Description: partial 16S ribosomal RNA
Rfam family: Bacterial small subunit ribosomal RNA
Source: RNAcentral
AGUGAACGCUGGCGGUAGGCCUAACACAUGCAAGUCGAGCGGCAGCACAGUAAGAGCUUGCUCUUACGGGUGGCGAGUGGCGGACGAGUGAGGAAUACAUCGGAAUCUACUUUUUCGUGGGGGAUAACGUAGGGAAACUUACGCUAAUACCGCAUACGACCUACGGGUGAAAGCAGGGGAUCUUCGGACCUUGCGCGAUUGAAUGAGCCGAUGUCGGAUUAGCUAGUUGGCGGGGUAAAGGCCCACCAAGGCGACGAUCCGUAGCUGGUCUGAGAGGAUGAUCAGCCACACUGGAACUGAGACACGGUCCAGACUCCUACGGGAGGCAGCAGUGGGGAAUAUUGGACAAAGGGCGCAAGCCUGAUCCAGCCAUACCGCGUGGGUGAAGAAGGCCUUCGGGUUGUAAAGCCCUUUUGUUGGGAAAGAAAAGCAGCAGGUUAAUACCCCGCUGUUCUGACGGUACCCAAAGAAUAAGCACCGGCUAACUUCGUG